Molecule: ribosomal RNA, 511 nt
Filed under: uncultured bacterium
Lineage: Bacteria
Description: bacterial SSU rRNA
Rfam family: Bacterial small subunit ribosomal RNA
Source: RNAcentral
CCUUUUGCUACGGAAUAACUCAGGGAAACUUGUGCUAAUACCGUAUGUGCCCUUCGGGGGAAAGAUUUAUCGGCAAAGGAUGAGCCCGCGUUGGAUUAGCUAGUUGGUGGGGUAAAGGCCUACCAAGGCGACGAUCCAUAGCUGGUCUGAGAGGAUGAUCAGCCACAUUGGGACUGAGACACGGCCCAAACUCCUACGGGAGGCAGCAGUGGGGAAUAUUGGACAAUGGGCGCAAGCCUGAUCCAGCCAUGCCGCGUGAGUGAUGAAGGCCUUAGGGUUGUAAAGCUCUUUCACCGGUGAAGAUAAUGACGGUAACCGGAGAAGAAGCCCCGGCUAACUCCGUGCCAGCAGCCGCGGUAAUACGGAGGGGGCUAGCGUUGUUCGGAAUUACUGGGCGUAAAGCGCACGUAGGCGGACCGGACAGUCAGAGGUGAAAUCCCAGGGCUCAACCUUGGAACUGCCUUUGAAACUAUCGGUCUGGAGUUCGAGAGAGGUGAGUGGAAUUCCGAGU